CUCUUGCUUUCUUUUUGUCUGGGCGAAUGUAGAAACUGUGGUGUAUUCACGGGCCAUCCUUAACCUCUCAAGGUUCCAUAGCAAGUUCCCCAAGAACCUCUCUACGUUCUGUUUCCAGGCUGCAGAAGAGAAAAUGUGGAUCCACUGUUCAACCAGCACUCUUCUGUGAAUGGGAGAGCAACAUGUCCUCCCCUCUAACCUGUGGCCAUGAGCUCCAUGAAUGGGAGAGCAAGGUGGCUUCCCCUGUAUCACGUGACCAUGAGCUCCAUGAAUGGUUUGUGUUCCUCCUACACUAACCUUGGGGGAAAUAACAAGAGGUCCUCUGAUGAAUGUUGUAGAUCGCCAUGGUUACGGUUCAGAGGUGCAGCAGAAAGCAAUUAUGGUGGAACAGAAGAAAGAAAUGCACCUCUUUGUCAGAAUUUCAUAACAGCUGUAAUAACACUAGCGCACCC
This 452-nucleotide long non-coding RNA is filed under the name Fukomys damarensis (Damara mole-rat). Its description in RNAcentral is "lncRNA (ENSFDAG00000026795.1)". Lineage: Eukaryota; Metazoa; Chordata; Mammalia; Rodentia; Bathyergidae. The record is from RNAcentral.